Molecule: ribosomal RNA, 253 nt
Filed under: uncultured bacterium
Lineage: Bacteria
Description: partial 16S ribosomal RNA
Rfam family: Bacterial small subunit ribosomal RNA
Source: RNAcentral
UACGUAGGGGGCAAGCGUUGUCCGGAUUUAUUGGGCGUAAAGAGCGUGUAGGCGGCCAAGCAGGUCCGCUGUGAAAACUCGAGGCUCAACCUCGAGACGUCGGUGGAAACCGUUUGGCUAGAGUCCGGAAGAGGUGAGUGGAACUGCGAGUGUAGAGGUGAAAUUCGUAGAUAUUCGCAAGAACACCAGUGGCGAAGGCGGCUCACUGGCCCGGUACUGACGCUGAGGUGCGAAAGCGUGGGGAGCAAACAGG